RNAcentral lists this ribosomal RNA (1806 nucleotides) under Triticum aestivum (bread wheat). RNAcentral describes it as "partial small subunit ribosomal RNA". Lineage: Eukaryota; Viridiplantae; Streptophyta; Magnoliopsida; Poales; Poaceae. The record is from RNAcentral.
AUGGAAGGAGACAUGCUAGCGAUCGGCAUAGAUCUCGGCACAACCUACUCCUGUGUCGGAGUAUGGCGGAACGGUCGUGUGGAGAUCGUCGCCAAUGACCUGGGAGACCGCACCACGCCAUCCUGUGUCGCCUUCACCAAGAACGACAAGCUCGUCGGCGAGGGGGCUAAUAUUCAGGCCGCGCGUAAUGCAUCCAACACUGUCUUCGAUGUCAAGCGGCUCAUCGGCCGGAGUUUCUCUGAUGCGUCGGUGAAGACGGAUGCCAAGUAUUGGUCAUUUCAGGUGACGGAGGGCAGCAACGACAAUCCCAGGAUCAAGGUGAGUUACCUUGGGAAGGAGAAGGAGUUCUCGCCGGAGGAGAUCUCCGCCAUGGUGCUCGAGAAGAUGAAGGCGACAGCUGAGGUCUUCCUUGGAACGACCAUCCAGGAUGCAGUGGUCACUGUGCCAGCUUACUUCAACAACUCCCAGCGCAAGGCGACCAAGGAUGCUGCCACCAUUGCCGGCCUUAAUGUCUUGCGCGUUAUCAACGAACCUACAGCGGCUGCCAUCGCCUACAGCCUUGAGAGGAAGUGGGGAAACGCCAAACAGAGCAUUGUGCUAGUGUAUGACUUGGGCGGUGGGACGCUGGAUGUAUCCCUCGUCGUUGUCAAGAAAGAUGUCUUGCAGGUCAUGGCUACCUCCGGGGACAGCCACCUAGGAGGCGAGGAUUUCACCAACAAUAUGGUUGAUCAUUUCGUCAACGAAUUUAAGAGGAAGAACCACAAAGAUAUCAGGGGCAACAAGAAGGCGGUCCGGAAUCUGAGGAACUCGUGCGAGAAGGCCAAGAGGAUGCUCUCCUCCCAGGCCCAGACCGUUGUGGAUAUUGAAGCUCUUUUUGAGGGCAUCGACUUCCACGCACCCAUCAAUUGCGCCCUGUUCGAGCAUCUCAACGAGGACCUCUUGCGCAGAUGCAUGAAGCCCGUUGAGACGUGCUUGGAGGACGCCAAGGUGAACAAGGUAAAAGUGGACGAUGUUGUGCUCGUGGGGGGUUCCACACGUAUCCCCCGCGUGCACAAGCUCGUCAAGGACUUCUUCAAUGGGAAGGAGCCCUGCCAGAGCAUCAACGCCGACGAGGCCGUCGCAUACGGAGCCACCGUCCUGGCCGCCAUGCUCACUGACCACAAGAAGCAUGACAUCCACCUGCAUCUCAUCGACGUCACGCCCCUCUCACAGGGCAUAAGGGUCAAGGGAGAUCUCAUGACCGUGAUGAUCCCGAGGAAUACCACCAUCCCCGCAACGAUGGAGUACACCUUCGAUACAAGUGUGGACAACCAGUCCGGCAUGUCUUUGGACGUGUACGAGGGUGAGCGGGCCAUGACAGCCGACAACAGCAUGCGUGGCAGGCUCACGCUUUCAGGCCUCACGUUGGCUCCUAAGGGGGUCACUAAAGUCAACGUGCGGUUUGACAUUGAUGAAGAAGGGAUCCUCCAUGUCUCGGCAGAAGACAAGAAGUCCGCUCAGAAGGAGAAGAUAACCAUCAUGCAUGACGUGGGGCGUUUUAGCAUGGAGGAGAUUCAGAGAAUGGUGAAGGAGGCCCAGGAGUACAAGGCCGUGGAUGAGGAGCACAAGAACAAGGUACAAGCACGGAACGACAUUGAGGGUUUGCUAUACAAGAUGUGCAACACUCUCAAGCUCCAGGACGCAGUUGAUGAGGCUACAAGCUGGCUCCAAGACAACGAGCUCACCACCAGCCAGAUUAAUGACAAGAAGAAGGAGCUCGAACGCAUCCACGAUAGCACUGUCACCGGUCAGACUAGUACACCAUGA